GGUAGAGCUCAGUGGUAGAACACUUGCCUAGCAUGCAUGAGGCCUUGGGUUCAAUCUCCAGUACUA
Molecule: transfer RNA, 66 nt
Filed under: Marmota monax (woodchuck)
Lineage: Eukaryota; Metazoa; Chordata; Mammalia; Rodentia; Sciuridae
Description: tRNA.Ala
Source: RNAcentral